Molecule: long non-coding RNA, 919 nt
Organism: Galeopterus variegatus (Sunda flying lemur)
Lineage: Eukaryota; Metazoa; Chordata; Mammalia; Dermoptera; Cynocephalidae
Exons: 2
Source: RefSeq, a predicted model, not a curated record
CCGGAGCCUUGUGGUAGAGUCGGGAGCUGCUUAUGGUCCUGAGGUGGGGGAAGGGAGGGGAGUGGUGGGCCCACUCCAGGCCAGUCACUGCCUUUUGACUUCCCUCUGGGGAAGGGAAAUUCCACUUGUAGAAAUCAGCUUCUAAAAUAAAAGAUGAUCAGAUGUCUAAUAUAGACCCUCCACUGGGCCCACUAGGAAGGGACACAGAGUAUCUCAGAACUUAAGAACAGGACCUCUUAUUUCUGGGCCAAAAGUGUGCCCGGAAAGUAGCAGGCAGCUCUGCCUGGCACAGGGCUGGCUCCCUGGCUGUGCCUGGGCUCUGCUUCCCUCCAGAGUAGUUGCUGCCUUUUUUCAGAUCAGGUGACCAAAACACCUCCCCUGUGCUGAGCUGCUGACCCUCAUCACCCAGACCUCCAGCCCGUGACCCGAAGCACCUCAGAACCCACUUUGCCGGUGCUAACAUACAAGAGGGAAUUAGGGUGGCUGCCAGCCAUGGCCAGAAAGCAGUCACCUGGUAGCCAGGCCAGAAGACAAGCUCCAGGUACCCAGGCCCAUCACCUCCCAGCCCCACGGGGGUCCCUCUUGACUCGAGCCUUCUCUAGGGAGAGGGAUACUGCACCUUCACCUGUAGGACUCAUAUUUAUAACAAUGUGUAAUGACUGUAGCAAAAAGCCCUUGUUUCUAGAUGUAAAUGGUCAAAGAAACAAGAGCUCUAUUGUAUUGAUUAAAAUAGUUCAAAUGAGUCCUGUAUCAUCGUAUCUCCUAUUCUGGAUUAGUGCCUUUUGGACAGUAGACUGUUCUGUAAUUAAAAUGUAGUAUACUGCUUUUUUGUACAGUUUUGUUUUAAUAAAACUUUUUUUUAAUUUGUGUUUAUUUUAGUAUUGUACCUAUUAGAGAAUAAAACGUAUAACUGAACAAA